AUGUGCUUAUUCACAGAUAAUAGCACAGAAGCAGAGACUUUAUGUCUAAGCAGACCUAGAUUCAGAGCAGACCCGAAGCUGCUUGAAGAAGGCUGGAGGUAUGUUAAGGAGACAAGAGCUGUCAAGAAGCAGGGAUGUCUCUGGAAAGGAACCUGUAAUAUUUUUGUGCUAUGCCAGAGAUUGACUGAAACAACUAUAGAAUCUGAUAGCUUCUUUAGGACCAAGGAGCAAGAUGGUGACAUAAGAAUGCUAUCAAUCUGCUCCCUCUUCUCUACCUCCCUCCAACAAUUACGCUCUUGGAACCCAGUCAUCAUUCUGAGAGAAGCCACAGGAUCUCUAUGA
Molecule: long non-coding RNA, 342 nt
Organism: Callithrix jacchus (white-tufted-ear marmoset)
Lineage: Eukaryota; Metazoa; Chordata; Mammalia; Primates; Cebidae
Source: Ensembl